UAACGGGAGCAUCGUGCCCGCGUCGUUCA
RNAcentral lists this small RNA (29 nucleotides) under Bombyx mori (domestic silkworm). RNAcentral describes it as "ovarian small RNA-18853". The record is from RNAcentral. Lineage: Eukaryota; Metazoa; Arthropoda; Insecta; Lepidoptera; Bombycidae.